AUGUGCGUGUCCCUCAAGUCUCAGGAUCAGUACGUACCAAGCCCGGAAACCAUCGUUCCUUCUACUCCAAGGGACGCUGGCCAGGACCAGAGUCGGGGAAGUGGGGCCCGAUUCACACACCCCGGCCUAAAACUCUCUCGGACCCGAAACCGGGCGAACCCGCCCAGUCAUCUGAAGCUCCACAAACGCCGAGGGGGUCCCGCCCCCGCAGUGCCGGCCGCACACCCAGGCCCAGCUCCAAGGGACGCUGCGGCCCAGACCCGGUGGGCGCACAUCGUCCACGGCCGACCCUGCCCGCUUGGGCCGCGGAUCGGGGGGCGACGGCCCCACCACGCUCAGUCCCGCGCCCCGGGAGGACCCGGCCCGACGGACGACUGCCGCUCACCUGAGGACCCGGCCGCGGCCGGGGCGCGGAGCCCGAGGGGAAAGCGAGCGAGCAGAAGCCCACGGGGCGACAGCGUGUACCGCCGGCCUCAGACUCUAGCUCCCGGAGCGUGUUUUCAAAUAGCCUCGUCCUCACGCGGCCGCGUCUCCUUCCGCCGCCCGGAAAUCAGGGCCCCUCCCCCUCCCCCUUGUGCUCACGUGAUCACAGCCCGCAGCCGCGCGCAGCCAGGGAGGCGGGAGCGGGAGCAGUGGGCCCCGCCCACAGAGGAGGGGACCGCGCCGGAAGCCCCCUGCUUAGAUUUUAAAUGUAAAACUUUUUACUUGGAAGAGGAAGACAAGGUGAGUGAGGUUGCCAUUGAGGAAGAAAAAAAGGAAGAGGAUGAAAAAAGUGAAGAAGAUUCAUCAGACCACGACGAAAAUGAAGAUGAGUUUAGUGAUGAAGAAGACUUACUAAAUAGCACAAAGGCUAAACUUCUGAAGUUGACAAGCGGCAGCAUAGACCCUGGUCUGAGUAUCAAGCAGUUGGGUGGUUUGUAUAUUCAUUUCAAUGCAGAUAAACUACAGUCUAACAAGAAAACCCUAACACAGAUCAAGGAGAAAAAGAAAAAUGAGCUUCUGCAGAAAGCCGUCAUUACACCUGAUUUUGAAAAACACUACUGUGUUCCAUCAUAUAGUGAAUCAAAGUAUCAACUUCAGAAAAAACGUAGAAAAGAAGGACAAAAAACAGCAGGGGAUGGCUGGUUUGGUAUGAAAGCUCCAGAAAUGACAAAUGAACUGAAAAAUGAUCUCAAAGCACUGAAGAUGAGAGCCAGCAUGGACCCGAAAAGGUUUUACAAGAAAAAUGAUAGAGAUGGCUUCCCCAAGUACUUCCAAAUUGGAACCAUUGUUGACAAUCCAGCUGAUUUCUACCAUUCACGAAUUCCCAAGAAGCAGAGGAAAAGAACUAUUACGGAAGAACUGCUGGAUGAUUCUGAGUUCAGAAGAUACAACCGCAGGAAGUACUCAGAGAUCAUGGCUGAAAAAGCAGCAAAUGCAGCAGGAAAAAAGUUCCGAAAGAAGAAGAAAUUUCGCAAUUAAGAUUUACCAAGCAAACUGCAACAUUUUACAUCACCCCUUUAUUUACUUAUUAAAGACGUUUUGAAAA
Molecule: non-coding RNA, 1528 nt
Organism: Macaca mulatta (Rhesus monkey)
Lineage: Eukaryota; Metazoa; Chordata; Mammalia; Primates; Cercopithecidae
Source: RefSeq, a predicted model, not a curated record